RNAcentral lists this ribosomal RNA (253 nucleotides) under uncultured bacterium. Its description in RNAcentral is "partial 16S ribosomal RNA". It matches the Rfam family "Bacterial small subunit ribosomal RNA", at positions 524 to 776 of the family's 1533-position model. The record is from RNAcentral.
UACGGAGGGUGCAAGCGUUGUUCGGAAUUAUUGGGCGUAAAGGGCAAGUAGGUUGUCUAGUAAGUCUGCUGUGAAAUCCCCGAGCUUAACUCGGGAAGUGCGGCAGAUACUGCGAGACUAGAGUACUGGAGGGGUGCGUGGAAUUCCCGGUGUAGCGGUGAAAUGCGUAGAUAUUGGGAGGAACACCAGUGGCGAAGGCGGCUACCUGGACCGGUUCUGACGCUGAGGCGCGAAAGCGUGGGUAGCAAACAGG